UUUUACACCCUUCAAUUUGCUAUUUUUAAAAUAUAUAAACUUCCAAACUAGAUUUCAUAUGGACCGUUCUAACCAAAUUUAUUCUAUUUUAUGAUUAAGGGACAACAACAAAGUCAAGAUGUCUGGAGAAUGUAGUGUAAAAAUGGUCAAUUUUAAAAGUUUAAAUAGUCAAGACACUCCAUCUCAAAUAUCUGAGAGAAAAUAUAUAAAUUAAUUCCAAGCUAUAGAUUCACUCCUAGAAAAAAACCUAAAAAUUC
This 257-nucleotide long non-coding RNA is filed under the name Lathyrus oleraceus (garden pea). Its description in RNAcentral is "Pisum sativum (pea) long non-coding RNA (PSAT_LNC004106)". The record is from RNAcentral. Lineage: Eukaryota; Viridiplantae; Streptophyta; Magnoliopsida; Fabales; Fabaceae.